Non-coding RNA from Salmo salar (Atlantic salmon), 53 nucleotides. The record is from Rfam. Lineage: Eukaryota; Metazoa; Chordata; Actinopteri; Salmoniformes; Salmonidae.
AAUGCACCAAUUUUAAGUCGCUCUGGAUAAGAGCGUCUGCUAAAUGACUUAAA